Molecule: long non-coding RNA, 3611 nt
Filed under: Homo sapiens (human)
Lineage: Eukaryota; Metazoa; Chordata; Mammalia; Primates; Hominidae
Description: HSALNT0391048
Source: RNAcentral
UUGCGAACUUAUAAAUCAUGUCAUUUUUUUAAUUUGAAAAAAAAGAACAUGGCGCUAUGCCAGAAUAAGAAAGGAAAAUCCAGCCUAGCCUGGUAAUAUGGUUUGGAUUUGUGUCCUCCUCCAUAAUGAAUUGUAAUCCCCAUUGUUGGAGGAGAGGCCUGGUAGGAGGUGAUGGGAUCAUGGGGGCGGAUUUCUCCCUUGCUGUUCUCAUAAUAGCGAGUCCUCCUGAGAUCUGGUUUUUUAAAAGUGUGUGGCACCUUUCAUUUCGCUUUCUUCUUCCUGCUUUUGCCAUGAUUGUAAGUUUCCUGAGGACUUCCCAGUCAUGCUUCCUGUACAGCCUGUGGAACCACAGAACCAAUUAAGCCUUUUUUUCUUUAUAAAUUACCCAGUCUCAGGUAGGUCUUUAUAGCAUUGCGAGAAUGAACUAAUACACCUAAUAAUCAGUUAAGGCCCCUCUGAGGAGCUGACUUUUAAGUGGAAUCUGAAACGCAAGAAGGAGCCAGCUACAUUAGGGGUGGAGAAUGCAGAAAGCUUUCUAGAAUAAAGGAACAAUAAAGACCCUAAAGUGGGAAGAGGCUUGGGAUAUUGGGAGGACCCAGAGAAAGCCAUGAUGAUGGAGUAGAGGGAUCUAGGGGAGAGAGGCCAGAGAGGAAGAACUGGACAUGAGCAGUAGGCUUGUAGGCCAUGGUGUGGGGUUUGGAUUUUCUCCUAAAUGCAAUGGGAAGCUAUUUAAGGCUUUUAGCAGGGGAGUGACAUGAUCCAAUUUACAUUUUAAAAAGGUCACUCAGACAGCCUGGAGGAUAACAGAUUGGAAGGGGCAAGAAGGGGAUGAGGGAGGCCGCCAUCCAGGUGAGGUGACGAGGUGUCUGAAGCUGCAGGUGGAACCCUGGGAGGCACCACACAGCACCUGCUUCCUGCUGCACCUCAGACGGUUCCAGCAGCAUUUGUGCUAAGGCAGGUCUUCUACGAAGUGUACUAGUGACUGAUGACAAAUGCUGUAGGCCCAUAGUCACAUCCCGAGAAUCUCUCCGUUGUUUCUGCCAUGCACACACUAUCCCGGUUCUGGCUUGAUAGAUCAACAAUGCCUACAGCUCACUCAACCCCGCGAGGUGUGUGUCAAGGGGUGCUCAGAGCCUGCUCCCGACCCCACUCCGGUGCACCCUCAUCUCACACAGGAUGCCGCUCCAGAGGUGGCUGUGGGUGAAGGGCUGUAGGAAUAUCGCCCGCCCACCCCCACCCCGAGCCAGCAGCAAAUCCUGUAUACUGGGACAUGUGAUGUCUGAAGUGCCAACCCAUCUGGUUGACCAGAUUUGCUGCCUUGAUGAAGCUGUCUUUCCUGACCAAGUUGGCUGUUGUUACCAACAGAUACUGGGUCCUUGUGCUGUUGUUAAAUUAGUUGUGAAUAAAAGGAAACCAGAGCAACUAAAGCCUGCGGUUCCCAUAGGCUAGAGAAAAUCUGUCGAUAGCAAUCGUUUCCUAGGAUGGUCAUUACAAAGGUAUUAGCUCUGCAUGUUCAGUUCCCCUCUGACUUUCACCGGAUUUAUAGAUUGUUCGUUCAUAGGAACUGCCAGGCACAUUUCUGACAAAAAUAUCUGCAUGUACGUAGCCAAAUGUGUGUGGCAGGCACUGAACUGAGCACGUUGGGGAAUAGAUCCCAUCACCUACCUACUCACAAACCUCACCUUAAAUCUGUUUCCCCCAGCACCAUCUAGCUACUCCCUGCUGUGAAUUUAAGAGUUAGGCUGGGCAUGGUGGCUCACGCCUGUAAUCCCAGCAUUUUGGGAGGCUGAGUUGGGCAGAUCUCUUGAAGUCAGGAGUUCGAGACCAGUGUGAUUAACAUGGUGAAACCCUGUCUCUACUAAAAAAUACAAAAAUUAGCCAGGCGUGGUGGUGGGCAUCUGUAAUCCCAGCGACUUGGGAGGCUGAGGCAAAAGAAUCACUUGAACCCGGGAGGCAGAGCUUGCAGUGAGCCGAGAUUGCGCCAUUGCACUCUAGCCUGGGCGACAGAACGAGACUCCAUCUCAAAAAAAAAAAAAAAAAGAGUUAACCUUUGGCCAGGGCGGUGGCUCACGUCUGUAAUCCCAGCACUUUUAGAGGUCGAGGUGGGUGGAUCACUUGAGGUCGGAAGUUUGAAACUAGCCUGGCCGACACGGUGAAACCCCGUCUCUACUAAAAAUACAAAAGUUAGCCAGGCAUGGUGGCAGGCACCUGUAAUCCCAGCUACUCUGGAGGCUGAGGCAGGAGAAUGGCUUGAAGCUGGGAGGCAGAGGUUGCAGUGAGCCGAGAUCGUGCCACUGCACUCCAGCCUGGGCAACAGGGUGAGACUCCAUCUCAAUGAAAAAAAAAAAAGAGUUAGCCUUGAUCUCUCUCUUCCUCCGUACUGGCAUUUACUGAAUAUCUCCAAACCACUCACUUUUCUCCCCUGCCCACUGCUCUCCUAGUCCAAGAUGCCUACAGCAGCGACCUCUCAGGCCUCAGUGUCCAGACUCCUCUGCUCUUCUCCCUGCAGCCUUGUUCUGAGCUCCCCGGACUCAUCACUUCCUGCUCCCACCUCAUCCUCUAUACAUCAGCCGUAUUCAUUGGCCAUUAGCCCCUCAAGUGUGCUCUCUCUCAACUCUGGGCCUUCCCAUAUCUCAAAGAGUUGACAGAUUGCCAACUUCAGCCCUGCUUUGUUUUGUAAAUUAAGUUUUACUGGCACCCAUCCAACCCCAUUCAUUGAUAGGUUAUCUGUGGCUGCUUUUGUGCUACAACAACAAAGUUGAGUAGAAAACUUUGCCGACCCUCCAUAUACAAUUUCUUCUGCCUCUCCUCUUCUUAUGUCCUUUCUCCGUGUUCACACCUUCCUUCCCUUCACUUGGUUAAUGCCUACUUACCCUUCAGGCCUUAGACUGGAAAUAACUUCUUCCAGGAAGUCCUCCCUGACCACACCCUAUCCCCUGUAUAUGUUCCCAUAGCACUCCAUUGUUGAAUCACAGCAGUAAUUACAAUGGCCUGCUUACUUAGACAAGUCUGUAUCCCCACUAGAUUGUAUGUUCCUUGAGGACAGAGGCUGGGUUGUAAACCCAAAAUAUCUGAGAUGGGUCUCAGUGAAUUUAGAAAGUUUGUUUUGCCAUGGUUAAGGAUGUACCCAUGACACAGCCUCAGGAGAUCCUGGCCACGUGUGCCCAAGGUGGUUGGGGUACAGCUUGCUUUUACACAUUUUAGGGAGACACAGGACAUCAAUCAAUGUGUGUAAGAUGUACAUUGGUUCGGUUCAGUAAAGUGGGACAACUCGAAGUGGGGGCUUCCCAGUUAGCAGCAGUUAACAUCAUGCUACUUGAUAAGCACCCUCGGAACUACAAAUUGAAAGAAUACUAAGAGAAGCAAGAAAAUGGACGCUUAGCCCUGAUGGGAAAUCAUACCUCGUUUCGUGACAAUCUAUUACAUUCAUGUCAAGAGGAAAGCCAAGGGAACACAGCCGGGAUGUGAUGUCAGCAGGCAAGAAGACUGAAAGUGGACUUUGAUUAAUUACCUGAUUGGUUCCUGCCCCACUUAGACCUGAAUGAAGCAAGUCUGCCACAUUGAAAGGUUUGGGGAAUUUUAGGUGGAAGAGGGGUGGGAUGGGACGGAGA